AAAUAUUUUAAUUCAGUAAGCGGAGGAAAAGAAACUAACCAGGAUUCUCCCAGUAACGGCGAGUGAACGGAGAUUAGCCCAUCACCGAAGUCUAUUCGCGCUUGUGAACAAGACAAUGUGGUGUUCAGGCUUGCACCUGGGGAUGCUUACCUACUCGAAGUCCGACUCCGAUUACGGCUAGGACCAUGCCCACAGCGGGUGAAAGGCCCGUACGGGUAGGUUAUUGCAAUUGAAGCGUUCCCCAGACGUGCAUGCUCUCGAGUCGGAUUGCUUGAGAAUGCAGUCCAAAGUGGGUGGUAAACUCCAUCCAAGGCUAAAUACUGGCACGAGUCCGAUAGUAGACAAGUACCGUGAGGGAAAGUUGAAAAGUACUCUGAAGAGAGAGUAAAUAGUACGUGAAGCCGCUUGCAGGGAAGCUGGUGGAGUCAAGCUUCAUGCUAGUGAAUUUGUUGUCAGGAGAUUUGUGGUUGGGACGUGAUGCUCGGUUACCUGGAAAUGGUUUGUCGCAUUCGUGCGACCCAAGUCAUCCCGGGUAGUGUGUUUGGACUGGCAUCUAUCUCCCCCUCCUGAUACUGAAUUUCACAAGGCAUACAUCACGGUCGAUAAUGGUUGUGGCGUGUGAGUGCAUAACCGCAUUUUGGCGGGCAUCUUUGCCUGCCUGGUGUGGAAUGGCAGGUAGCUUGUGCAGGCCUUGUGCUUGUAACUUGCUUAUUGUGGUCUUGAUCUGCUUGCACUCAUGUCUUGUUGUUCCGUCGUUAUCAGCCUUAUCGUUCUUAUGUGAAGUCGUGUCUUCGGACGCGGCGUCUGUGAGAACCGUGAUGCCGAGGUAGACUUUCCCCCGACCUGUUAAAA
Molecule: ribosomal RNA, 852 nt
Filed under: Dactylogyrus sp. LXF-2019
Lineage: Eukaryota; Metazoa; Platyhelminthes; Monogenea; Dactylogyridea; Dactylogyridae
Description: partial 28S ribosomal RNA
Rfam family: Eukaryotic large subunit ribosomal RNA
Source: RNAcentral